GGUGGGUGCAGGAGAAAGAGAGACUGUGUGUGUGUGAGUGGAUAUUAAGCAGAGGGAGAGUUGUGUGAACCUCACAGCUGAAGGUAAGAUCAACAUCUUGUUCUCUGCAGUGAUGGUGUGGUAUCAUGGCUUGUUCAACCAAGGGGCCACAUGUUACCUGAACAGUGUGCUGCAGGUGCUGUUCAUGACCAGAGACUUCAGAGAGGCUGUGGAAAAGUGCACCCCUGAUAACACUGACACCAAGUGUAUUGAUCAUCAACUCAAAGACGUGUUUGUAAGGUUACUGAAACAAACAGCACACACUGAUGAAAUCACACGGAAGCUGGGMAUYG
This is a non-coding RNA of Paralichthys olivaceus (Japanese flounder), 332 nucleotides long. NCBI's taxonomy places the organism in Eukaryota, Metazoa, Chordata, Actinopteri, Pleuronectiformes, Paralichthyidae. The record is from RefSeq and is a predicted model, not a curated record.